UGGCGCUGGGCAGCGGACACGCCGCGUUCGAGGCGGCGGGGCUGAACGACGGGCUCGUGCGCGCGUUCGACUUCGCGCAGCGGCAC
Molecule: transfer RNA, 86 nt
Filed under: Caballeronia temeraria
Lineage: Bacteria; Pseudomonadati; Pseudomonadota; Betaproteobacteria; Burkholderiales; Burkholderiaceae
Description: tRNA-Arg
Source: RNAcentral